Molecule: long non-coding RNA, 2296 nt
Organism: Homo sapiens (human)
Lineage: Eukaryota; Metazoa; Chordata; Mammalia; Primates; Hominidae
Source: Ensembl
AGCCUACUCAGUUAGAAGAUGACAAGGAUGAAGACCUUUAUGAUGAUCCACUUCUACUCAAUGAAUAGCUUUCUUGGCACACUGCCUCAGGAACAGGAUUAUGCUACAGAACAAAAAGAGCAAAUUCUUGGCUUUUGAAUUCCAAAAUCUAAAAUCUUGGCAAAAACAAUAUGUUUAGAAGGAAAAUUGAUCUGGAAAUGGUCGGCAUCAGUUUUUCCUACCCCUAAGACAAAAUAAACCUAGGGGAAAAAACCUGUUGGGGAUAAAAAGUAGCAAAAGUGGAAGAGUUAGAACCUUGAACUGGUCAUGGAGCAGACACCUGUGGUCCGUGCCCUCCGCUCUGACCCCAAAAGUUGCUGGUGCAGAGGAGAGACAAUAGACGCUCCAAAGGAAAUAAAGGAAAUGAAAGGGAAUAUGGCCAGCACCCACUCCUACCCUAUACCCCCUACUGCUGCCUCCAGGCCCAGGUAAAGCUCCACAUACUCCACAUAUCUCAGACUCUUAGGAUCUUUCUUCAACAUGCUAUGAAGACAGCAGAGAAGCACAUAUGGCUGGGAAAGUGUAUCUAGAUGGAGAGGACCCAAAACAGCCUGAAAGUUCCCCAACAUGUCCCUGGAGUUCAGGACCAGACCAAAUAUUUUCCAAGUGCUCAAGAGAAAAAGUCAUGAGAGACCCAGAUGGACCUCAGGCACUGCAGGAUGAUGCCCAAUUCAGCCACUACCUGUGUGACUGAUGAGAAACCCUAAGGACUGAUGUCUGUCCCCCAGCUCUCUCUCUGUCAGAUGCUAAUGCACCCUGAAAGUGUCCUAGAUCUAUACAAACACUCCAUGUUCACUAUCCCACAUAAACAACUAUCCAUCCCAGAAGAGUUGCCACCAGGCUCUUCAUAAACCCAGCCUCACCCACGCAUCCAUGUUUAACCAGCUUCCUUCAGAAAUAUUCUCGCAGAGUUCCACUAAAUCUUCUAUGCUAUAGGCACAACUGCUUUCUUUUUUCCAUUCUUAGGAAGUAAAGAAAAGGCCAGGACAACAUAGUCUGUGUAACAAUCUGGUGCAUCAGAAGAACGGGAAGAAUAAAGUCCCCAAUGACCCUAGGUUUCUGAUCCAUACAAGAUCUUCUUUCUGAUCUCCAGAACCCGAGCCAUGAAGUGGGAAAAAGUCCUCUAGGUGGCCUGUUUCCCAACCUGGUGGUACUUAGUGCCCUUUCCUUCUUGCAAUGUCCUCUCACUGUCUUCCCAAAACAACCCGAAACUCACUCCCAUUAAAGUGACGGGACUCAAUAGUUUGAGGUUUAACUCCAGCUCCUUCUCUGUUCACGCAGCUAUCCAGUUGUUAAAUCUACCUGCCGGCUCUCUCCUCUCCUUUCUAUUACCUGGAAGUGCUGCUUUCUGAAUAUUCCUUUUCCUCAAUCCAGGAACAUGACAGAUUUGCACUUCCCCUCUUUCUUGAGGUAGAUCAUGGCCAGGCACGUGGCUUCCUUUGGCUAGUGAAACGUGGACAGGAGUAACAUGGGCUGCUUCCUAAUUGCAGUAAGCAACACUGCAGCUGGAACUGCCUCCUGCAGCUGGAACUGACAGCAUUUCAGAUGGUGGAGGCCCUGUCACUCUGAUUUCCAGAGUAAAGGGCAUGCAAUGGGUCGUUUCAGUCAAUGGGCAUGUAAAGUGAGCAAGCAAUAAACACUUGUUAAAUGAACUCGCUGGCUGUUGCUGCAUAAUAAUCCAGCCCACCCUGACUAAUAUGCCCAGGCUAUUAUUGGGGUUCAGGCUCUCAUUCCUCAUCAAAGCUUUUAACACAUGCCACUCAAAGUGUAGUUCAUACACAGGUAUCAAUCCACAAACUAUUGCUGCUCUGCAAUGAUGUAAGUAUAGAAAUUGAGAAUAAACAUUUAGAAAUUCUUGUAACAGUUAAGCUGAUUAAUUUGACCUAUUGAAUCUAAUAAUAACAUAUUUGGAAUUGUCUUUCCACCAGAUCUUAGCACGAUGUCUUACCCAUGAAGGUGCUAACAAAAUGUUUGUCAAAUUAAAUUGGAUUAUUGAUUCAUGAUUAAGAAACAGAAUUAUGUUAGGAUUCCAAGCACUGGCAGGCAGAUCUGAGGAAUACUUGGGGUGCAAGAUCAUUGAGGUGCAAUGGUCUUCUUCAUUGAGGUGCAAUGAUCAUUUAUAAGUUUCUGGAUUUUCUGUUUGUACCAGCACAAAAUUUAGUGUCAACAAGCAGAGAAACUUUCUGAGUUCUUCUUUAUUUACUAUUAAAUAUUGUUUUAGGUUUGCCAACAUAAAAGCAUGAGCAUGAAUGUGUUU